CUUGUCUGUUACUGAACAAUGAAGUUUGCCACAAAGUAAUAAGAUACCUGCUGCCCGAAUGGCUAGCAAGCUAAGUGCUGAAAUGAUAAACUAUAAUUGAACCGUCAAUGCUUAUGAACAAACCACAUAAACUACGAAUUUACCUUUAAUAUCUUUGGGGGAAAAAUGAAUCCUUAGCUCUCUAGUAUUCCGUUUGUUCUUCCCACAAACAACACAUCGGUUGCCGGCGUCGGGAGCCAUGUUUAUAUCUACCGCCGCGCCACCUAGCCAACGGUGAAGCUCGAAUUGUAUCAAGGAACAUCUAGAUAUUCCUUGAUGUGUAAAGACAGACGACAUAUCAGCGAUUCACCGCCAUCUAUAGGACAAGCAUUCAACUUAUAGGGAUUGAAUUAACCCUGGAAGAAUACACGCUCCAUACUGAUAUUCCUUGUAGGGAAGGUUGGCGGGGUUGAGGCCAGCAAGUAAAGAGUCCUGUCACCUGUGGCGUAGUCCUCGGAAGGUAAGAAGGAGUACAGCAGGAAACAUGGCCAGUGCUAUUCGCCAAAACUAUCAUGAAGAAUCCGAAGCUGCAAUUAACAAGCAUAUUAACUUGGAACUACAUGCCAGUUAUACCUUCCUCUCAAUGGGCUAUCACUUUGAGAGAGAUGAUGUAGCACUUCCAGGAUUGUCCAAAUUCUUCAAGGACCACAGUGAUUUUGAGCUUGAUAAUGCUCAAACGUUGAUGAAGUAUCAGAACCAGCGCGGGGGCCGUGUUGUAUUACAGGCCAUACCUGCACCCUGCCAACAGGAAUGGGGACAAGGGAUGGAGGCUCUCCAAGUAGCUUUAGAUCUUAAAAAACAAAUAAAUAAGUACAGUACCCAGAAAAACUCAAGAGAUGUGGGACUUUCCGUGUUUGAGAGGGUCGUCUCAUUAUCCGGAAGGUGUGCACCAAUUAUUCCGGCUACUGGGGAUACCAAUGUACUACUAUAUUGUAUCCCAGGAUAGGUAUUACUGUACUGGAGUAUGGGAUGCCAAUGUGACUGCUGACAAAUGAGAGAAAUCUAUCAAGAGAUCAAAUUUGGAUUUCCAGAGUCUCCUAGAUGUUCGUGAAGUGGCGU
This 1098-nucleotide unclassified non-coding RNA is filed under the name Homarus americanus (American lobster). RNAcentral describes it as "ferritin-like, transcript variant X1". Lineage: Eukaryota; Metazoa; Arthropoda; Malacostraca; Decapoda; Nephropidae. The record is from RNAcentral.